RNAcentral lists this unclassified non-coding RNA (147 nucleotides) under uncultured Cenococcum. Its description in RNAcentral is "sequence contains ITS2". The record is from RNAcentral. Lineage: Eukaryota; Fungi; Ascomycota; Dothideomycetes; Gloniales; Gloniaceae.
CACCACUCAAGCACGGCUUGGUGUUGGGCGACGUCCCUCCUUGGGGACGCGCCUCGAAACGCUCGGCGGCGUGGCACCGGCUUUAAGCGUAGCAGAAUCUUUCGCUUUGGAAGUCGGGGCCCCGUCUGCCGGAAGACCUACCAUCAA